GAUGAACGCUGGCGGCGUGCUUAACACAUGCAAGUCGAACGGAAAGGCUCCUGCUUGCCGUGGUACUCGAGUGGCGAACGGGUGUGUAACACGUGGGUGAUCUGCCCUGCACUUCGGGAUAAGCCUGGGAAACUGGGUCUAAUACCGGAUAGGACGAUGGUUUGGAUGCCAUUGUGGAAAGUUUUUGCGGUGUGGGAUGAGCUCGCGGCCUAUCAGCUUGUUGGUGGGGUAAUGGCCUACCAAGGCGUCGACGGGUAGCCGGCAUGAGAGGGUGUACGGCCACAUUGGGACUGAGAUACGGACCAGACGCGUACGGGAGGCAGCAGUGGGGAAUAUUGCCCAAUGGGGGCAAGCCUGAUGCAGCGACGCCGCGUUGGGGAUGACGGCCUUCGGGUUGUAAACUCCUUUCGCUAGGGACGAAGCGCAAGUGACGGUACCUGGAGAAGAAGCACCGGCUAACUACGUG
This 466-nucleotide ribosomal RNA is filed under the name uncultured bacterium. RNAcentral describes it as "partial 16S ribosomal RNA". It matches the Rfam family "Bacterial small subunit ribosomal RNA", at positions 28 to 507 of the family's 1533-position model. The record is from RNAcentral.